Pecten maximus is the source of this 431-nucleotide long non-coding RNA. RefSeq lists it as uncharacterized. Lineage: Eukaryota; Metazoa; Mollusca; Bivalvia; Pectinida; Pectinidae. The transcript is spliced from 4 exons. The record is from RefSeq and is a predicted model, not a curated record.
CGAGUCUGGAGUUCCAGUGUUUCUGGUGUUAACCAUACAACAAUGCACCCAGUCAUCAGGAUCAUCAUAGUCCUCAGACUUCAAAUUUGCAUUACCAGCUAAGGUUGGAUUUGCCUCCUGCAACCUAGUCAAGACCUGUCUCAGAUUCUCAAGGUGUUCAUCAAAAGAUUUGGACAUGAUUAUCGCAUCAUCAAGUACACUGACUAACAGCCUCAACAUUUGCAACAACAGUAUCUUUGUACAGCUUGCUGCUAGAAUUACCCAUGUUCAAGAAUCGCAAAGGAACAAUACCCAAACUGGGGUCAACAAUGGCUUUUGCUAGUAGCUGAAUAUCCUGACUGAAAGGAGAUCCUGUUCUACUUGGAUUAUCUCCCCCUGACCCAGUGCUGGAUUCAUCAUUGUGUGGAUCUUGGAUCCUACAAAAUGAGAUU